Molecule: long non-coding RNA, 794 nt
Organism: Coregonus clupeaformis (lake whitefish)
Lineage: Eukaryota; Metazoa; Chordata; Actinopteri; Salmoniformes; Salmonidae
Exons: 2
Source: RefSeq, a predicted model, not a curated record
UGGCGGCCAUGUGGUCGCACUCACGUGGAGUCCGGAAAGGAAGUUCAGUCCCAGUCGUGUCCUCACCGGCAGGUCUCCUCGCGCCUGAGCAGGGUUACCGUGGCCUCUGGGGUCGAAAUGUGAUGUGUGGCCUGCUGUUGGAGGUCAGAGGUCAAACCCAGCCCAUUGUGAAUGGACAGCAUUGUUGCAGAAACCAUGGAGACUGAAACCACUGGAUAUUCUUACCCCCAAAGCUUGAUAUUGUAUUUUCUCCCUUAGAUAACAUAAAAGGGGACUUGGGUCCAGUGGCGAAGAAGCAAGAGGGGUAGUCCAACAGUCCACAGCUUUAUCAGUGGGUGUGGAUUGAUGAGAACAGCCAUGUCCAUUCUUGUGAUUGAUCUUUCUGACUGGACUCCCCCCCCCUGCAGCCACCAUGUGUUGACCUUCUCCCUACUAGGAUCUAUGGUGCAGAUAUGGUGCCUUUUCCCAAUGCUGCUGUAACAGCACAUGUGGUGCUAAUGAAAACAGCACAAAGGGAAAAUGGAGGUUGUGUGUUCAAGACAAUAUCUUGGCUUGCCAAGUGACUCCUGUCUUGUGUAAAUAGCUCCUUCUGUGCUAAAAAUACACAAUCUAGUCCUUGCUUGGGGCACAAUAUUAUACCCAUAAAUUAAGUAUCAAUUCUGACUUUUUAUAUCUGUACUUUUGAUAGCACACUCUUAUCUCUUGAUAGAAGUUGAGAAACAAACUAUUGUAUAGCAAUCUUGCUGUCUGAUACCAUCUAAUAUAAUCCAUUUAAAUAAAAAUGUCUUCCUCGA